AGAUCUCCAUACCCCGUCCGGCAUGUGAGACCACAAUCCCGGUAGGGUUCCCUACGGACCCGGUCCGUCCACCAUCUCCCAGGAUAUCUAGUCAGGCUGACCCCAUCAUACAAUUAUCAGUCUACACAAUGUUUCAUUUCCCUUUUCCUCAAUAAGCAUCAUCAAUUCACAUUUAAACAAGCAAAUUGUAAUUCAUGCCGAACAGACAACAUACAGUAUCAGUUCUUCAGUCAUUCAACCCAU
This 243-nucleotide long non-coding RNA is filed under the name Carica papaya (papaya). Its description in RNAcentral is "long non-coding RNA (CPAP_LNC010497)". Lineage: Eukaryota; Viridiplantae; Streptophyta; Magnoliopsida; Brassicales; Caricaceae. The record is from RNAcentral.